AGAGUUUGAUCAUGGCUCAGGAUGAACGCUAGCGGCAGGCUUAACACAUGCAAGCCGAGGGGCAGCAUAAUGGAUAGCAAUAUCUAUGGUGGCGACCGGCGCACGGGUGCGUAACGCGUAUGCAACCUACCUUUAACAGGGGAUAACACUGAGAAAUUGGUACUAAUACCCCAUAAUAUCAUAGAAGGCAUCUUUUAUGGUUGAAAAUUCCGAUGGUUAGAGAUGGGGCAUGCGUUGUAUUAGCUAGUUGGUGGGGUAACGGCUCACCAAGGCGACGAUACAUAGGGGGACUGAGAGGUUAACCCCCCACACUGGUACUGAGACACGGACCAGACUCCUACGGCAGGCA
This 349-nucleotide ribosomal RNA is filed under the name uncultured bacterium. RNAcentral describes it as "bacterial SSU rRNA". It matches the Rfam family "Bacterial small subunit ribosomal RNA", at positions 8 to 350 of the family's 1533-position model. The record is from RNAcentral.